Molecule: long non-coding RNA, 1557 nt
Filed under: Ixodes scapularis (black-legged tick)
Lineage: Eukaryota; Metazoa; Arthropoda; Arachnida; Ixodida; Ixodidae
Description: uncharacterized LOC115322982, transcript variant X3
Source: RNAcentral
UUAUAAUUUGAUCGCCCGACGUAAUCGCCUCGUGGUUGCACGGUUGAACUACAUACAUCGUCACAGAAGCGCACAGAAAGGCACAAGGUGUCCCUGUGCUUCUGAAGUGGAAUAUGGACAGCAUGAGUCGUCAUUUGGCUCUGGUGCCAGUGGAGAAGCGCAUUCGAACUGGCUUGCCUGUACCCUCUGGGAGAUGCGCCCAUGCUGCAUUACGGUCUGUUUGCAGUGCCGGGGGGUCCUAGUGGAGAUGGCCUAGGUUGGCCAGAGGUUGGUCUUCAUCGGAAGGCAAGAUGAAUCGGGAGCAAGAGUAGCAUGCCUCCUUUCUUGAUUCCAUGGUGCACGGACCUAGGCUGUCUUUAUGAAGCAUACAUGAAGGGGCUCAACAAGGUCCAAAGCCAGGGGUUCCAUUACAGGGCCCUAUCUCUACAAGGGUGGUCCACAGGGACACCACGCCAAGCCUAGCGUCCGAACCAUGAGCAGGUUGGAGGUGGGAGCCCUGUCGCUGCUCCGUAUGCCACUUGUGAACCCCUGGUCCCCUCUGACUGGGGUGAAGGGUUCGUCCCCAAGUAGGGUCUGGACCAGCACUCCGGCCUCAAUCCUCAAGCCCUGCGUCCCCUGCCUGUGUCGCCGUCCGCAUGGAGACUCCUCCGACGCUGCUUGCGUUGCCAGCCAGAGCCUGCCCUAGCCCAGGGGUGUUGCAGUGGAGGAACAACCCUGGGGACUGUACUGCACCCCAAACUCUGCAAAUCUCCAGCUUCGAAGUUGAGGACUCGGACGAAGAAGACGAACAUGUCGGGCACAAGGGUGAUCGGCAGCUGCCGUGUCUCGGUCCGGAUGUAACCAAAACUACUUUGGGAGAUAAGCGGAGUCUGGACACGAGCUUGAUUGCCAUAAAAGAAGGGCCAUCAUAUCCUUUCCUCAAGUGGGAAUCUCCAGGAAAGAGCCCAGAGCGUCUCACUCCCGUGGUGUCCUCGUACUCCUUCGACACUUCGUUAGGAAAGAGUACGAGCACCCCGUUGCAGUCAGGACGAGGCGAAAGUCGAUCCAAGCCUCUUCAAGGUCAGUGCGGAGUAUGUGUCGCGGUGGAAGCGUCGACCCGUCGAGUCUGAUGUCAACUUGAAAGUUGAGGAUUUUGAGCUCGAAAAAGGAACCGCCUAGUGCUCUCUCCGUCGCAAGGAGAGACUCGCCACUUUAUAUCAAAGAGAUAGAUAUAUUGAUGCAGCAUACUAGCGCAUCAAUGAGAGGUUUAAAUGCUUAGAAGGCGAAAUUAGGACGAGUGAACCACAUCUCACUGAUAAGGUGCACACUUUACAGAACCGCAUGCAGGAGCUUAUGCUUCGAUUAAUUAAAAACAGAGCGUGUUGGUAAGGAUAAUUUUAAACACAAAAGAAUAAACAAAUAGUGGGGAGCACAAAACAUGACAUCUUCAUCUCCAUUGGACUUGCGGCACUAGAAAAAAACAUGUCCUGUUGCUAAAAGACAAUGUUAAUAAAAAGAGCGAGCUGGUUAACGUUACACAUGAUUCUAACCGGAGACGACGAACGACAAGGGGGCAAG